UAAAGAGGGCAGCAUGCUCCUUUUGUCAUUUGGUCUGCGAUGCUUUGCCACCUUCUCUUUUUGGUCAGGGUGAGUUGAGAUUCUUGGGUUUCAUUCACUUUCUUUGAUGGACUAAAGCUUCUCUUUUUUGGUCUUUUCCAUUUUCUGUUUUUGAUUGCUGAUCCUUGGACAUUUUUCCACCUUCUGGUUCGAUUUUGCAGCCGUCUCUUCCUCUGUUGUUUCAGUUGAUGCUAGCUUUCGUUUUCUUUAUCAUUAUGUUAGCUGUGUCCUUUUCAUUUUGUCUUAAUGGUUUUUCAGGCUUGGCUUUCAUCUAUUGUGUCUGGGUUGACAGGGUUCCAUUUGUUUUUUUUCGCCUAACUGAUUCUACCGUGGAUGACCUGCUCUGCCUGGUGUUCUUUCCUUUCUUAUUGCUUCAUUUUAUUUUAUUUGGCCAUCGUUUCAUGCUGUGCUAUACUUUUCUUAUUCUUUCCUAUGCUGUUGCACCAGUUGUUUUUUAUCUUCAUGUUUUUUCCUCCUGUUUUGCUGAGCAUGAUGUGUGUUGUCUGUUAAGAUGUUUGAUGAUUGGCAUCUUUUUUAGCUGGUGCUUUUGUUGCGAAGGCUGGUUCUCCUCCUGCCUUAUGGUAUGUGGCUUUGCCACAAUUGAUGUAAUUGAUCAGUUUCCCAGUAGCAGCCCCCUUCUAGGUUAUGGCUGUGUAAUGCCAGCAUGUUUCGUGGCCUUAGGCAAUGUGCAGCCAUUUUUUAGAUAAGAUUUUUGAUUUAGCUGGGAGUGUUAAUAUGCUGGCCAUACGUUCGCCAGCAAUGGAUAACAACCGUGAUUGUAAUGUCUAGCGUGCCAGGAGAGUGGCCUCUGUUAGCCAUCCAGAUUAGGGCCUGUGCGUGUGAAGCUUGAAAUCUCCCUGCAGAUUUAUUUUCUGGUUUUUGUGAAUUUGGCUGGGAGUGUUGAUAUGCUGGCCAUACGUUGGCCAGCAAUGAAACGCAGACAUGAUCUUAAUAUCUUGCAUGCCAGGAGGGUUGCUUCUGCUAGCCAUCCAGAGUAGAACCAGAAUGCGUGGAGCUUGGAAUCUCCCUGCAGAUUUUUUUGCUGGGUUUUGUUUUGGUCUGUGCGGUGCUUAUGUUGUUUUCGGUGCUUAGCUUAGCUGGGAACCUUUGUUGCUGCUGAGCUCCUCUUUUCUUCCAAUCUUUUGAUUCUUUGAGUCUCAGUGUCAAUUGGCAGGGGGGCUCUCAGCUAAGCUUGAUUCUGUUGUAUAUGUUAAUCUAGACUGCAAGUGGAGAAAUUAUUUUGUUGCUUUAUAAACAGCAGCUGUUUCAGUUCUUUUCCUUCGCUUUUGAAUGUGAAUUCAUCUUUGUUCGGUGUGUUUGACAGGGGCCCUCUGAUUGUCUUUGCUUGACCACCUUUGAAGGGCACGUUUAUUCUUUCUUUUCAUGCUCUUUCAGUCUUUUUGCUUGGUUGCAUUUUCCUCUUUCAGAUUUCUGUUGUUCCCUUCAUUUACAUGCUUCCAACCUUGCUUGGCAGUAGGGGUUCCUGCCGUCAAGCUGCUGCGAAAACUUUCGGUUGUUAUAGAAGCAUCCUUCUGUGCUCUCACGGCCUCCCCUGCUCCUGCCGCCCCUGCUGUUGCUUUCAAGGUUCCCAGGCAGCCAGUUUCUCUCAUCAAGGACCCCGAUAUCAAGUUGAGGCGAGAGCAACAGUAAUAUUUUUUGACAUUGCAGCAUUCGAAGCAGAUGGUGCUUUGAGGAGAAGGUCAUCCUCGUUAGCAUCAGUUGAUCACCCCAAUAGACCUUUAACUAGAGAGCACGGUGGUCUUAUGAGGUGGCCUGAAAAUUUCUACAGACCAAGGGAACAACGUAAGCCAAACUGUGAAGGGACAUGCCGACCAGCAAAUAGCUUGUCUGCAAGAGCAAUGCAGCAGAGUAUCUUCGGCAGCAUGGCAUGUUCAAUUAACAUCUAUUUGCAAAGAUAUGUUCCGAAGCACCUUUUGGGAUCAUUGCUGGUCAAAAAAUGGAUGUCUGGAAUUUUUAUAUUGAUGCAUGCAGGCUCGCUGGCUUUAUUGUUUAAUAAAUUAAUCAUUCAGGCAACCAUUUGAUGGAGCUCAUUGUGCCUCCAUGCUAUGAAAUUAUGUAGGAGGGAGCUCGAAAUUAUGGCUUGUUUCAUACCCACAGCUUUUCCAGUAGCCGAGCAAGUUCGUCUUUAUGUUUCAAAAAUAUUUUUGAAAAAAUUAAAACAAAAUUAGGGUUUUUUUUUAUUUCAAUCCCACAUGUCACCUUUAUUUUUUCAAGAAAAAAAGGUUGAUAUAUAAUAGUUUUCUUGAAAAUGCAGGUGCUACAAUGGCCUCUUCAACAACCACAUAUGACAAUGUUUACUGCAAGUUGCUACUCCAGGGAAAAAGUAUUUUCUCUUCAGAUCAAGCUCUACUGAUCUCAACAAGAGAAACUAAGGCAUUGGUUUCUAAAUUUGCUGGCUCCCAAGAGAUGUUUGAAAAGGCUUUUGUUGGCGAGACUACUAUCCAUCAAAAUAUUGUUUUGUAAUUCUUAUUCCAUUUUGUUUGUGAUUUCAUUCUGUUUAAGGGAUCAAAGUUAAUCUGAAGCUAUUGUUUGCGAGCUUGCCUGUCUGUUCGAUCGAUAUUCCAGUGAAAGGAAUUCCUUUUUCUGUGUU
This is a long non-coding RNA of Populus trichocarpa (black cottonwood), 2650 nucleotides long. RefSeq lists it as uncharacterized. Lineage: Eukaryota; Viridiplantae; Streptophyta; Magnoliopsida; Malpighiales; Salicaceae. The transcript has 2 exons. The record is from RefSeq and is a predicted model, not a curated record.